RNAcentral lists this ribosomal RNA (235 nucleotides) under uncultured bacterium. Its description in RNAcentral is "partial 16S ribosomal RNA". It matches the Rfam family "Bacterial small subunit ribosomal RNA", at positions 118 to 351 of the family's 1533-position model. The record is from RNAcentral.
UGAGUAACCUGCCCUUAACUCUGGGAUAAGCCUGGGAAACUGGGUCUAAUACCGGAUAUGACUCCUCAUCGCAUGGUGGGGGGUGGAAAGCUUUAUUGUGGUUUUGGAUGGACUCGCGGCCUAUCAGCUUGUUGGUGAGGUAAUGGCUCACCAAGGCGACGACGGGUAGCCGGCCUGAGAGGGUGACCGGCCACACUGGGACUGAGACACGGUCCAGACUCCGUACGGGAGGCAG